This is a small nuclear RNA of Fukomys damarensis (Damara mole-rat), 98 nucleotides long. The record is from Ensembl. NCBI's taxonomy places the organism in Eukaryota, Metazoa, Chordata, Mammalia, Rodentia, Bathyergidae.
GUACUGGCUUUGGUAGCACAUGUACUAAGAUUAGAACAAUACAGAAUAGCACAGCCUCUGUGCAAAGAUGACACGUAAAUUUGUGAAGGUUUUUUUUU